RNAcentral lists this long non-coding RNA (162 nucleotides) under Calidris pygmaea (Spoon-billed sandpiper). RNAcentral describes it as "lncRNA (ENSCPGG00000008297.1)". The record is from RNAcentral. Lineage: Eukaryota; Metazoa; Chordata; Aves; Charadriiformes; Scolopacidae.
CUAUCCGUGUGGAAAAAUGUUAAAAAGGCUGUUGAAGAUUUGAAGUCAAGUCUUUUCUUAAUGUGAGAAUAAAAUGGGGAAGUUCUAGAACCUUGAGAAUAAUUCAGCACUGCAGUCUUGCUUGCUGCAGGAACGAAGACUAGUCUCAAGAAUUCACUUAAA